This 426-nucleotide long non-coding RNA is filed under the name Bemisia tabaci. RNAcentral describes it as "lncRNA ENSASIAIIG005654". The record is from RNAcentral. Lineage: Eukaryota; Metazoa; Arthropoda; Insecta; Hemiptera; Aleyrodidae.
GAUGAUUUAUUUUUAUUAAGUUUAUUGAAUUUGCGCCCCAAGCCUCAAGAUGAAACAAGCUUGCUUUUUUACUGCUUUGAGUUCAUAAUCGAUUAUUCACAUUAUGUAAUUAUAUUGCACUAUGCUCGGAUGAAUUCAAUCCUGACCUGAUGAAAGCCAAUGGUUUUUUUUGAAACUGUAGAAAAUCUAUAUGCUCUAACUCCAAAUAAUAUUGUACCUACGAAGUCUUUUUGGAGAUGUUACACUUAGGGAAUUGGAACUAAUUGUGAAUGCCUAAAGUCAUGAAUGAAAUGAUUUACUUUUGGUCUUGAGCCUUCUGCAAAACUGCAGAUCAAAAAUCUUAAGGCUUACAAUUGUGAUUCAAAGGUCAGUGUGAGCUGUAUAUUUUGCUUUUAAAUCGGACAGAUUUAACAAAAGAACGAUAUU